CCCUUAGAUGUCCUGGGCUGCACGCGCGCUACACUGAUGCGUCCCAUGAGUGAUUCCUUACUCGAGAGGGUUGGGUAAACUGUUCAUGCGCAUCGUGAUGGGAAUAGAGCUUUGUAAUUUUUGCUCUUCAACGAGGAAUUCCUAGUAGGUGCAAUUCAUCAACUUGCGCCGAUUACGUCCCUGCCCUUUGUACACACCGCCCGUCGCUACUACCGAUUGAAUGGUUUAGUGAGGCCUCCUGAUUGGCGCCGCCGUGCCGGCAACGGAACAGCGGAUUGUCGAAAAGUUGGUCAAACUUGAUCAUUUAGAGGAAGUAAAAGUCGUANCA
RNAcentral lists this ribosomal RNA (328 nucleotides) under uncultured eukaryote. Its description in RNAcentral is "partial 18S ribosomal RNA". It matches the Rfam family "Eukaryotic small subunit ribosomal RNA", at positions 1470 to 1796 of the family's 1831-position model. The record is from RNAcentral.